This 442-nucleotide ribosomal RNA is filed under the name uncultured bacterium. Its description in RNAcentral is "partial 16S ribosomal RNA". It matches the Rfam family "Bacterial small subunit ribosomal RNA", at positions 338 to 795 of the family's 1533-position model. The record is from RNAcentral.
CCUACGGGAGGCAGCAGUAGGGAAUCUUUCACAAUGGGCGAAAGCCUGAUGGAGCAACGCCGCGUGCAGGAUGAAGGCCUUCGGGUUGUAAACUGCUUUUAUAAGCGAGAAAUAUGAUGGUAACUUAUGAAUAAGGAUCGGCUAACUACGUGCCAGCAGCCGCGGUCAUACGUAGGAUCCGAGCAUUAUCCGGAGUGACUGGGUGUAAAGAGUUGCGUAGGUGGCAUAAUAAGUAGCUAGUGAAAUCUGGUGGCUCAACCAUUCAGACUAUUAGCUAAACUGUUAAGCUCGAGACCGUUAGGGGUAACUGGAAUUUCUAGUGUAGGAGUGAAAUCCGUAGAUAUUAGAAAGAACACCAAUAGCGUAGGCAGGUUGCUGGGACGGUUCUGACACUAAGGCACGAAAGUGUAGGGAGCAAACGGGAUUAGAUACCCCUGUAGUC